UCAAACUCGUGGUGUUUUGGACCGUCAGAUGACAUCUGCUCAGAUCAUAAACCAUAUAAUAUUAGAAACGAAUCAAACAUUGCAGAAGCAAACUUCGAUAUCAAGGUGUUUUUAAUCCGGUUUGACCAGUGCACCGUUGAGGUGUCUGGUUCGAUGUUCAGUCCGGUUAUGAAAACAUUGUGUAAAAUGUAAAUGUGUCUCUCCACUAGUUGAGUGUAAACUUAAGAGUAUGUUUAGAGAUUGUAUGAGUUAGUCGUUGUAAAAAAAUAAAAUACAAUAAAAUAACUCACGUAGAAUGCAGUUACAGUUCCCGCGGAAUCGCCUUCAACAAGCUUGAUCUGAAUGUUGACUUUUCCGAACAUAUACUUUGACUUUGAUGAAAAUCCAGCUCCUGAGUAAGUUAUCUAGCUUCAUGUUGACGGCAUCACCAUCAAACGAGAAAUGAUCAGGAGCCCAGUAAGGCUGAAACAGCUGAUCAAAUUUAGCAGUAGCAUUAGCACAAAAGAACAAAGAUAGAAACAAUGCAACAGCAACUAAAGAUGAAGAAGAAUCAGCCAUGAUGGAAGACAUAUUACAAGGUUUUUGUUGU
RNAcentral lists this long non-coding RNA (589 nucleotides) under Helianthus annuus (common sunflower). RNAcentral describes it as "sRNA HanXRQr2_Chr17g0792751". Lineage: Eukaryota; Viridiplantae; Streptophyta; Magnoliopsida; Asterales; Asteraceae. The record is from RNAcentral.